UACGUAGGGUGCGAGCGUUAAUCGGAAUUACUGGGCGUAAAGCGUGCGCAGGCGGCGCGUUAAGACAGGUGUGAAAGCCCCGAGCUUAACUUGGGAAUUGCGCUUGUGACUGGCGUGCUGGAGUGUGGCAGAGGGAGGUGGAAUUCCACGUGUAGCAGUGAAAUGCGUAGAGAUGCGGAGGAACACCGAUGGCGAAGGCAGCCUCCUGGGCCAGCACUGACGCUCAUGCACGAAAGCGUGGGGAGCAAACAGG
RNAcentral lists this ribosomal RNA (253 nucleotides) under uncultured bacterium. Its description in RNAcentral is "partial 16S ribosomal RNA". It matches the Rfam family "Bacterial small subunit ribosomal RNA", at positions 524 to 776 of the family's 1533-position model. The record is from RNAcentral.